GGAUUGAACGCUGGCGGCGUGCCUAACACAUGCAAGUCGGGCGGUAACAGGUGUAGCAAUACAUGCUGACGAGCGGCGAACGGGUGAGUAAUGCUUCGGAAUCUACCUUAUGGUGGGGAAUAACUAGCCGAAAGGUUAGCUAAUACCGCAUACGUCCUACGGGAGAAAGCAGGGGAUCGCAAGACCUUGCGCCAAAAGAUGAGCCGAAGUCGGAUUAGCUAGUUGGUAGGUAACGGCCUACCAAGGCGACGAUCCGUAGCUGGUCUGAGAGGACGACCAGCCACACUGGAACUGAGACACGGUCCAGACUCCUACGGGAGGCAGCAGGUGGGAAUAGUGGACAAGUGGGGAAACCCUGAGUCCAGCGACGCCGCGUAGUGUAGAAGA
This 387-nucleotide ribosomal RNA is filed under the name uncultured soil bacterium. Its description in RNAcentral is "bacterial SSU rRNA". It matches the Rfam family "Bacterial small subunit ribosomal RNA", at positions 27 to 414 of the family's 1533-position model. The record is from RNAcentral.